This 538-nucleotide long non-coding RNA is filed under the name Homo sapiens (human). Its description in RNAcentral is "non-protein coding lnc-UCP3-2:3". Lineage: Eukaryota; Metazoa; Chordata; Mammalia; Primates; Hominidae. The record is from RNAcentral.
ACUGCGAAGCCCAGCUGCGCGCGCCUUGGGAUUGACUGUCCACGCUCGCCCGGCUCGUCCGACGCGCCCUCCGCCAGCCGACAGACACAGCCGCACGCACUGCCGUGUUCUCCCUGCGGCUCGGACACAUAGUAUGACCAUUAGGUGUUUCGUCUCCCACCCAUUUUCUAUGGAAAACCAAGGGGAUCGGGCCAUGAUAGCCACUGGCAGCUUUGAAGAACGGGACACCUUUAGAGAAGCUUGAUCUUGGAGGCCUCACCGUGAGACCUUACAAAGCCGGCUCUCCAGAUGAACCACAGAAGCAGGAAUGUGGGCAUCAUCAGUGAAAUCUCUGCAUACAGCAGACAAAGGGCUGGUCCAGUGGCUGUUUAUGAGGCAGCGCUAGGAGAGCUCUGAUCCAGACUCUCCCUGCAGUGAAAGGGAGGGAGCCCUUCAUGAAGUAUUGACUGCUUGAGCAGGAAUUGCUUCACCAGCACCUAACUGAGUGCCUCUCGAGCUCACAUCGGUUUUCCCUCAUGAGGCCACUUGGAGUCUUGCU